UACGGAGGGAGCUAGCGUUAUUCGGAAUUACUGGGCGUAAAGCGCACGUAGGCGGCUUUGUAAGUCAGAGGUGAAAGCCCGGGGCUCAACUCCGGAAUUGCCUUUAAGACUGCAUCGCUUGAAUCCGGGAGAGGUGAGUGGAAUUCCGAGUGUAGAGGUGAAAUUCGUAGAUAUUCGGAAGAACACCAGUGGCGAAGGCGGCUCGCUGGACCGGCAUUGACGCUGAGGUGCGAAAGCGUGGGGAGCAAACAGG
This 253-nucleotide ribosomal RNA is filed under the name uncultured bacterium. RNAcentral describes it as "partial 16S ribosomal RNA". It matches the Rfam family "Bacterial small subunit ribosomal RNA", at positions 524 to 776 of the family's 1533-position model. The record is from RNAcentral.